This 333-nucleotide unclassified non-coding RNA is filed under the name Hevea brasiliensis (rubber tree). Lineage: Eukaryota; Viridiplantae; Streptophyta; Magnoliopsida; Malpighiales; Euphorbiaceae. The record is from RNAcentral.
UUGCUAUGGCACACACAAAAUUUGUACACAGCCACCAAAUUUCUAAUGGUACAAAUACUGCAGCAUAGAAUAAAAAUCGUCUUUGCAAAAAAAAAAAAAAACACCUAAAAUUAUUGUAUCCUUUUCAACUUCCUUCUAACUUAAUACACUAUUUUCCCCCCUCCAUUUAGCCAUUCGACUCAUUUACUCAUUUCCUCAGUUACAUAGAACUGGAAGACAGCAAAAUCACCUAAAUCACUGCCCUGGAUGUAUACAACGUGGACAGCAGAUUUAUCCUGAAACUUCUGACCAAUUAACCAUUUAAAUUUCUCAACCUUGCAACCAGUUCAUCCU